This 850-nucleotide ribosomal RNA is filed under the name Moraxella sp. C12. RNAcentral describes it as "bacterial SSU rRNA". It matches the Rfam family "Bacterial small subunit ribosomal RNA", at positions 84 to 935 of the family's 1533-position model. The record is from RNAcentral. Lineage: Bacteria; Pseudomonadati; Pseudomonadota; Gammaproteobacteria; Moraxellales; Moraxellaceae.
AGAGAUGAUUAGUGGCGGACGGGUGAGUAACAUUUAGGAAUCUGCCUAGUAGUGGGGGAUAGCUCGGGGAAACUCGAAUUAAUACCGCAUACGACCUACGGGUGAAAGGGGGCGCAAGCUCUUGCUAUUAGAUGAGCCUAAAUCAGAUUAGCUAGUUGGUGGGGUAAAGGCCCACCAAGGCGACGAUCUGUAACUGGUCUGAGAGGAUGAUCAGUCACACCGGAACUGAGACACGGUCCGGACUCCUACGGGAGGCAGCAGUGGGGAAUAUUGGACAAUGGGGGCAACCCUGAUCCAGCCAUGCCGCGUGUGUGAAGAAGGCCUUUUGGUUGUAAAGCACUUUAAGCAGGGAGGAGAGGCUAAUGGUUAAUACCCAUUAGAUUAGACGUUACCUGCAGAAUAAGCACCGGCUAACUCUGUGCCAGCAGCCGCGGUAAUACAGAGGGUGCGAGCGUUAAUCGGAAUUACUGGGCGUAAAGCGAGUGUAGGUGGCUCAUUAAGUCACAUGUGAAAUCCCCGGGCUUAACCUGGGAACUGCAUGUGAUACUGGUGGUGCUAGAAUAUGUGAGAGGGAAGUAGAAUUCCAGGUGUAGCGGUGAAAUGCGUAGAGAUCUGGAGGAAUACCGAUGGCGAAGGCAGCUUCCUGGCAUAAUAUUGACACUGAGAUUCGAAAGCGUGGGUAGCAAACAGGAUUAGAUACCCUGGUAGUCCACGCCGUAAACGAUGUCUACUAGCCGUUGGGGUCCUUGAGACUUUAGUGGCGCAGUUAACGCGAUAAGUAGACCGCCUGGGGAGUACGGCCGCAAGGUUAAAACUCAAAUGAAUUGACGGGGGCCCGCACAAGCGGUGG